GACGAACGCUGGCGGCGUGCUUAACACAUGCAAGUCGAACGGAAAGGCCCUGCUUUUGUGGGGUGCUCGAGUGGCGAACGGGUGAGUAACACGUGAGUAACCUGCCCUUGACUUUGGGAUAACUUCAGGAAACUGGGGCUAAUACCGGAUAGGAGCUCCUGCUGCAUGGUGGGGGUUGGAAAGUUUCGGCGGUUGGGGAUGGACUCGCGGCUUAUCAGCUUGUUGGUGGGGUAGUGGCUUACCAAGGCUUUGACGGGUAGCCGGCCUGAGAGGGUGACCGGCCACAUUGGGACUGAGAUACGGCCCAGACUCCUCCGGGAGGCAGCAGUGGGGAAUAUUGCACAAUGGGCGGAAGUCUGAUGCAGCAACGCCGCGUGCGGGAUGACGGCCUUCGGGUUGUAAACCGCUUUCGCCUGUGACGAAGCGUGAGUGACGGUAAUGGGUAAAGAAGCACCGGCUAACUACGU
RNAcentral lists this ribosomal RNA (467 nucleotides) under uncultured bacterium. RNAcentral describes it as "partial 16S ribosomal RNA". It matches the Rfam family "Bacterial small subunit ribosomal RNA", at positions 28 to 506 of the family's 1533-position model. The record is from RNAcentral.